UUGUUGGUAAGGUAAAAGCUUACCAAGGCUUCGAUCAGUAGCUGGUCUGAGAGGACGACCAGCCACACUGGGACUGAGACACGGCCCAGACUCCUACGGGAGGCAGCAGUGGGGAAUUUUGGACAAUGGGGGCAACCCUGAUCCAGCCAUGCCGCGUGAGUGAAGAAGGCCUUCGGGUUGUAAAGCUCUUUCAGCCGGAACGAAACGGUUACGGUUAAUACCCGUGACUACUGACGGUACCGGAAGAAGAAGCACCGGCUAACUACGUGCCAGCAGCCGCGGUAAUACGUAGGGUGCGAGCGUUAAUCGGAAUUACUGGGCGUAAAGCGUGCGCAGGUGGUUUUGUAAGUCAGAUGUGAAAGCCCCGGGCUCAACCUGGGAACUGCGUUUGAAACUACAAGACUAGAGUGUGGCAGAGGGGGGUGGAAUUCCGCGUGUAGCAGUGAAAUGCGUAGAGAUGUGGAGGAACACCGAUGGCGAAGGCAGCCCCCUGGGUCAACACUGACGCUCAGGCACGAAAGCAUGGGGAGCAAACAGGAUUAGAUACCCUGGUAGUCCAUGCCCUAAACGAUGUCAACUAGUUGUCGGGCCUUUACGGGCUUGGUAACGUAGCUAACGCGUGAAGUUGACCGCCUGGGGAGUACGAUCGCAAGAUUAAAACUCAAAUGAAUUGACGGGGACCCGCACAAGCGGUGGAUUAUGUGGAUUAAUUCGAUGCAACGCGAAAAACCUUACCUACCCUUGACAUGUAUCGAAGCCCGCAGAAAAGCGGGGGUGCCCGAAAGGGAACGAUAACACAGGUGCUGCAUGGCUGUCGUCAGCUCGUGUCGUGGGAUGUUGGGUUAAGUCCCGCAACGAGCGCAACCCUUGUCAUUAAUUGCCAUCAUUUAGUUGGGCACUUUAAUGAGACUGCCGG
This 916-nucleotide ribosomal RNA is filed under the name uncultured bacterium. RNAcentral's name for it is "bacterial SSU rRNA". It matches the Rfam family "Bacterial small subunit ribosomal RNA", at positions 246 to 1155 of the family's 1533-position model. The record is from RNAcentral.